UACGGGGGGGGCAAGCGUUGUUCGGAAUUACUGGGCGUAAAGGGCGCGUAGGUGGCCAACUAAGUCAUACGUGAAAUCCCUCAGCUUAACUGGGGAACUGCGUCUGAUACUGGAUGGCUUGAGUUUGGGAGAGGGAUGCGGAAUUCCAGGUGUAGCGGUGAAAUGCGUAGAUAUCGUUUGGAACGCCAAUGGUGAAAACAGGUCGCUGAGAGUGCGCUGACGCUGAGACACGAAAGCCAGGGGAGCGAACGGG
Molecule: ribosomal RNA, 253 nt
Filed under: uncultured bacterium
Lineage: Bacteria
Description: partial 16S ribosomal RNA
Rfam family: Bacterial small subunit ribosomal RNA
Source: RNAcentral